RNAcentral lists this long non-coding RNA (243 nucleotides) under Lathyrus oleraceus (garden pea). RNAcentral describes it as "Pisum sativum (pea) long non-coding RNA (PSAT_LNC018085)". Lineage: Eukaryota; Viridiplantae; Streptophyta; Magnoliopsida; Fabales; Fabaceae. The record is from RNAcentral.
UUUCAAAAAACAAAAAAUAUUAACCUAGGCGUCAGUUGCAUUGGCGCAUCCAAUAAAAAUGUUAUUCAUUAGCGUCACGUGCAAUGACGUAUGCAUGCGAAGGCGUCACAUGCAAUAUCACAUGCAUGUGUAGGUCGUGUGUAGGCGCCACAUGCAACGACGCAUGCAUAAUACACUCUAUGUAUGCACCAAUGCAUGUGGCUACUGCUCCACAACUCCAACUAUAAAUACAACAUCACCCUC